GAUGAACGCUAGCGGCAGGCUUAAUACAUGCAAGUCGAGGGGCAACAGGGGUAGCAAUACCUGCUGGCGACCGGCAAACGGGUGCGGAACACGUACAGAACCUUCCUUUAAGCGGGGGAUAGCCCGAAGAAAUUCGGAUUAAUACCCCAUAGUAAUAUUUGGUGGCAUCAUUAGAUAUUUAAAGAUUUAUCACUUAGAGAUGGCUGUGCGGCUGAUUAGGUAGUUGGUGAGGUAGCGGCUCACCAAGCCUGCGAUCAGUAACUGGUGUGAGAGCACGACCAGUCACACGGGCACUGAGACACGGGCCCGACUCCUACGGGAGGCAGCAGUAAGGAAUAUUGGUCAAUGGACGCAAGUCUGAACCAGCCAUGCCGCGUGAAGGAUGAAGGUCCUCUGGAUUGUAAACUUCUUUUAUGUGGGACGAAAUGCAUUCUUUCUAGAGUGUUUGACGGUA
This 454-nucleotide ribosomal RNA is filed under the name uncultured bacterium. RNAcentral describes it as "bacterial SSU rRNA". It matches the Rfam family "Bacterial small subunit ribosomal RNA", at positions 28 to 477 of the family's 1533-position model. The record is from RNAcentral.